This 436-nucleotide ribosomal RNA is filed under the name uncultured bacterium. RNAcentral describes it as "partial 16S ribosomal RNA". It matches the Rfam family "Bacterial small subunit ribosomal RNA", at positions 29 to 507 of the family's 1533-position model. The record is from RNAcentral.
AGCGAACGCUGGCGGCAGGCUUAACACAUGCAAGUCGAGCGGGCAUCCUUGUGGUGUCAGCGGCAGACGGGUGAGUAACGCGUGGGAACGUGCCCUUCGGUUCGGAAUAACUCAGGGAAACUUGAGCUAAUACCGGAUACGCCCUUUUGGGGAAAGGUUUACUGCCGAAGGAUCGGCCCGCGUCUGAUUAGCUCGUUGGUGAGGUUAUGGCUCACCAAGGCGACGAUCAGUAGCUGGUCUGAGAGGAUGAUCAGCCACACUGGGACUGAGACACGGCCCAGACUCCUACGGGAGGCAGCAGUGGGGAAUAUUGGACAAUGGGGGCAACCCUGAUCCAGCCAUGCCGCGUGAGUGAUGACGGCCUUAGGGUUGUAAAGCUCUUUUCUCCGGGACGAUAAUGACGGUACCGGAGGAAUAAGCCCCGGCUAACUUCGUG